UACAGAGGGUGCGAGCGUUAAUCGGAAUUACUGGGCGUAAAGCGUGCGUAGGUGGUUCGUUAAGUCUGUCGUGAAAGCCCCGGGCUCAACCUGGGAAUGGCGAUGGAUACUGGCGGGCUAGAGUGCGGUAGAGGAGAGUGGAAUUCCACGUGUAGCGGUGAAAUGCGUAGAGAUGUGGAGGAACACCAGUGGCGAAGGCGACUCUUUGGCCUGUAACUGACGCUGAGGCGCGAAAGCGUGGGGAGCAAACAGG
This 253-nucleotide ribosomal RNA is filed under the name uncultured bacterium. Its description in RNAcentral is "partial 16S ribosomal RNA". It matches the Rfam family "Bacterial small subunit ribosomal RNA", at positions 524 to 776 of the family's 1533-position model. The record is from RNAcentral.